RNAcentral lists this ribosomal RNA (274 nucleotides) under Limosilactobacillus reuteri. RNAcentral's name for it is "Lactobacillus reuteri partial 16S ribosomal RNA". It matches the Rfam family "Bacterial small subunit ribosomal RNA", at positions 1 to 237 of the family's 1533-position model. Lineage: Bacteria; Bacillati; Bacillota; Bacilli; Lactobacillales; Lactobacillaceae. The record is from RNAcentral.
UUUAUAUGAGAGUUUGAUCCUGGCUCAGGAUGAACGCCGGCGGUGUGCCUAAUACAUGCAAGUCGUACGCACUGGCCCAACUGAUUGAUGGUGCUUGCACCUGAUUGACGAUGGAUCACCAGUGAGUGGCGGACGGGUGAGUAACACGUAGGUAACCUGCCCCGGAGCGGGGGAUAACAUUUGGAAACAGAUGCUAAUACCGCAUAACAACAAAAGCCGCAUGGCUUUUGUUUGAAAGAUGGCUUUGGCUAUCACUCUGGGAUGGACCUGCGGU